This is a long non-coding RNA of Lutra lutra (Eurasian river otter), 615 nucleotides long. RefSeq lists it as uncharacterized. The record is from RefSeq and is a predicted model, not a curated record. NCBI's taxonomy places the organism in Eukaryota, Metazoa, Chordata, Mammalia, Carnivora, Mustelidae. The transcript has 2 exons.
CCCCUGCCGCCCCCUCCCUCCGCUUCUCUCUAUCCGCAGGCUCUCCCUGGCCCUGUAGCAAAUCUGUCCUUUUUCCGGGCCCAAUGUGGCCAGGCAACUGGUUUCGGCUUGCUGAGGCUCUGUCCAGAUCCUCAGGGAAGCAGCUGAGAGGCCAGGAAGUGGAGCGCCGUGGGAACCCACGCUUCCAGCGCAUUCUCGCUCGAUAGUUCUCUGGGCAGGACUGGGCUGAUCAGGACAGAGUAGCGCAGUCACUGAUGGGGUCCGUGGUGGGUGCUGCUUUUUGGGGCAGCUCAGCCACGACCGGAAGGUUCUGUUUCCCUGGGCACAGCGCGAAGAAGGAAGAGUAGGACGGUCAAAGAAGACUAAUACUGGAGGGCGGUGAUCUGGCAAAAAGCAGGUGUCUGGGGGAGUCUAAAAGAACUGCUUCGGAAUCAAUUUUUAAAUGACAACACAUGGGCAUUUUGACUCACAUAAACAAGGGCAACAUCAUAGAGAUAGUGGAGCAAGUGGAUGGAAGGAACCAGGAAGACUGACAACUUUGCAACUCAGAGCCACCAUACAAAUUUGGACUUUUACUUGAGAGAUAAAUAAACGUUAUUCUUGUUUAAGCAACCA